AAAAAGACAAACCCUAAGUUUCCGUACCAACGUUUGACUAUCCGUCUUAUAUGAAAUUUUUUUAUAAUUAGUAUUUUCAUUGUUAUUAGAUGAUAAAACAUGAUUAAUACUUUAUGCGUGAUUUAUCUUUUUAAUUUUUUUUCAUAAUUUUUUCAAAUAAGACGGACAGUCAAACAUUGGACAUGGAAACCAGAGUUUGUCUUUUUU
This is a non-coding RNA of Oryza glumipatula, 207 nucleotides long. NCBI's taxonomy places the organism in Eukaryota, Viridiplantae, Streptophyta, Magnoliopsida, Poales, Poaceae. The record is from Rfam.